ACGCGGAGAUUCUGCCUUGCGAUGCACAAAAGGCAUCGCCGAUUUUAGACGGAGAUUCGAGCGACUCCCCUGCUUCAACCCACUCUCCUUUGAUACCAAUGCUU
This is a long non-coding RNA of Cucurbita moschata (crookneck pumpkin), 104 nucleotides long. RefSeq lists it as uncharacterized. The transcript has 3 exons. The record is from RefSeq and is a predicted model, not a curated record. NCBI's taxonomy places the organism in Eukaryota, Viridiplantae, Streptophyta, Magnoliopsida, Cucurbitales, Cucurbitaceae.